RNAcentral lists this ribosomal RNA (253 nucleotides) under uncultured bacterium. RNAcentral's name for it is "partial 16S ribosomal RNA". It matches the Rfam family "Bacterial small subunit ribosomal RNA", at positions 524 to 776 of the family's 1533-position model. The record is from RNAcentral.
UACAGAGGGUGCGAGCGUUAAUCGGAAUUACUGGGCGUAAAGCGUGCGUAGACGGUUAUUUAAGUCGGAUGUGAAAGCCCCGGGCUCAACCUGGGAAUUGCAUUCGAGACUGAAUAGCUAGGGUACGGUAGAGGGAAGUGGAAUUUCCGGUGUAGCGGUGAAAUGCGUAGAUAUCCGGAAGAACACCGGUGGCGAAGGCGGUCUGCUGGGCAGUUGCUGACACUGAGGCGCGACAGCGUGGGGAGCAAACAGG